GGGCCAGUAGCUCAGCCGGUUAGAGCAGCGGACUCAUAAUCCGUCGGUCGUGGGUUCGAGCCCCACCUGGCCCAC
This 75-nucleotide transfer RNA is filed under the name Demequina activiva. RNAcentral describes it as "tRNA-Met". It matches the Rfam family "tRNA". From Rfam's summary of the family: Transfer RNA (tRNA) molecules are approximately 80 nucleotides in length. Their secondary structure includes four short double-helical elements and three loops (D, anti-codon, and T loops). Lineage: Bacteria; Bacillati; Actinomycetota; Actinomycetes; Micrococcales; Demequinaceae. The record is from RNAcentral.